Equus quagga is the source of this 1689-nucleotide long non-coding RNA. RefSeq lists it as uncharacterized. The record is from RefSeq and is a predicted model, not a curated record. The transcript is spliced from 2 exons. NCBI's taxonomy places the organism in Eukaryota, Metazoa, Chordata, Mammalia, Perissodactyla, Equidae.
CAUUGGGUUUGUGUCCAGCUUAGGAUAAAUAUGCCAGAUAUGAUACAUUCAACAUGAUUUGUGGUUUCCGUUUCUUGAGAAAUUUCAGUGACAGCACCUUGAAACCUCACCAAGCCAUUAUGCAGAGCAAGGGAGCCAAACCCAGAGCUUUGGGGCCUGUCUAUGACACAAUAGGUGCAAACUCGUACAACCCACGCCCACUCCUACUCCAUCCAAAGUACAGCCACGUUCUUUCCCAACAGUGGCCCGUGGGACUUGGUGAAUCUUCUCCAGGGAAGUGUUAUGCUGCCUGGGAAUUCAUCUUAACCCCAUGAGGGAAAGGCCAGAGAAGAGAGGUUCCAUAUAAUAUGCAAAAGUCCUGCCAAGUGGAGGCGGCCAGGAAUGUUCUUGCCCAACCCAAGACUUUAUAGAGACCAGGACCCUUCUAGGAAGAAUCAAAAAUUAAAUAUAUUGAGAAACGUGAGCCUAAGGCCAUCCCUUACUGAGGACUGUUAGCAGAUGGAUAUAUUGAAAAGCGACGAGGACAGACAAACUUGGCUGCUAGCCAGUCAGUAUAUUAAAAAGACGAAAAUUCAGAACUCUGAAAGGACUGUGUGGGUUUUCCCAUCCCUGAAGUUUGAAGACGUUUGCUGUGCAGGGACAAAGAUUUGCCUGCCACAGCCCUAUGUUUCGAGGGUAUUAACUGGGCUAUGACUCGGCUUGCCGGCUGUGUAAAUGCCCCGGAGCAGAUCAGCGCUCCGUCUAGAGGAGGCUGCCUCAAGUGCCCGGGGUGGGUGCCCACAAGUCCGGGCCUCUGCAGCUGUUGCAGCUCCCCGGUAACAAACAGGGCGCUGGUGGAGGUCCGCGGGCAGCCUGGCCUCAGGCUCUGUCACUUGAGCUCCCUUGUCUCUCCUCCCUUUGCUGGGAGCCCAAGAAUGAGGUGGGGGAGGGGGUCCAAGAGGAAACCAGAACCUCCAGAUUCCUUUUUUACAAAGCAUUGUCCACCAAGCAGGUCACUGGCAGGGCACACAGCUCUGAUCUAACAUUACCCUCCAUUCUAUGUGUCGCCAGCCCACCAAGUCCCCGAAAAACUGGGUAUGAGUACAAAAUUGACCACAAUUCCUUUCAGGUUAAUCAAGAUUAUAAUAUAUAUUUCUAAAGGGGGCAGCCAAACACUUGUCUCUGUCCAUAAAUAGGCAUAUCCUAUAUUCAGUGAUAUAUAUAUAUAUUUAAUGGUAUAUAUUGGGGGAUCAGAAUUUGCCACCCCAAAAUAUGUGCCUUUGGCUUGAUUACUUUUUAAAAACAAAACCCUGUGAAAGAAACUUUGACCUUCUCCCUACCUGCCUAAAAUGAUUUAAGAUGGAAGGCCUGUGCCACGAAGGAGCUAAUACCAUAAGACAUCUACAGUGUAACAUAAACUAGGUGGGAUAGACAGGAGGAACCUAGCAAGGGCCAUUUAAUCAAAGUCCUCUCCGCCUCUCUUGUCUUUACAAGGCAUCGGCAACAUUUUUUAUCAAAUAUUUGUUUUCCCAUCUCCAUGUGAAUUUCCUUCCUCCUCUUUGACAUCACAAACCACUACCCCCAACAUCCUCCUUUGUACUUAGCUGAAGACGACAAUUAAGGUGGUGGCUUCCACCAUUUUAUUACAUUACUGUUUUCCCGGGUUUCUCACUUGUAUACAUGUUAUUAAACUUUGGUUUUUCUCCUGUU